Molecule: ribosomal RNA, 253 nt
Filed under: uncultured bacterium
Lineage: Bacteria
Description: partial 16S ribosomal RNA
Rfam family: Bacterial small subunit ribosomal RNA
Source: RNAcentral
UACGUAGGGCGCAAGCGUUGUCCGGAAUUAUUGGGCGUAAAGAGCUCGUAGGCGGUUUGUCGCGUCUGCUGUGAAAACCUAAGGCUCAACCUUGGGCUUGCAGUGGGUACGGGCAGACUAGAGUGCGGUAGGGGUGACUGGAAUUCCUGGUGUAGCGGUGGAAUGCGCAGAUAUCAGGAGGAACACCGGUGGCGAAGGCGGGUCUCUGGGCAGUAACUGACGCUGAGGAGCGAAAGCGUGGGGAGCGAACCGG